GCGGACGUGGCGAAAUCGGUAGACGCAGCGGACUUAAAAUCCGUUUGCCUUUGGCAGUGCGGGUUCAAGUCCCGCCGUCCGCACCA
This 86-nucleotide transfer RNA is filed under the name Sphingobium sp. Its description in RNAcentral is "tRNA-Leu". It matches the Rfam family "tRNA". Rfam says of the family: Transfer RNA (tRNA) molecules are approximately 80 nucleotides in length. Their secondary structure includes four short double-helical elements and three loops (D, anti-codon, and T loops). The record is from RNAcentral. Lineage: Bacteria; Pseudomonadati; Pseudomonadota; Alphaproteobacteria; Sphingomonadales; Sphingobiaceae.